Molecule: long non-coding RNA, 2431 nt
Filed under: Sus scrofa (pig)
Lineage: Eukaryota; Metazoa; Chordata; Mammalia; Artiodactyla; Suidae
Description: lncRNA (ENSSSCG00040053893.1)
Source: RNAcentral
CGUGUCUGAGACCUACACCACAGCUCACGGCAAUGCUGGAUCCUUAACCCACUGAGCAAGGCCAGGGAUUGAACCCGCAACCUCAUGGUUACUAGUCGGGUUUGUUAACCACUGAGCCACGAUGGGAACUCCUGCAUAAUUUUUUAAUAGUUCAUUUACAACAUAUUAGUUCAUGUGUACAAGAUAGUGAUUCAAUAUUUUUAUAGAUUAUAAUCUAGUUACAGGUAUUUUAAAAUAUUGUUUAUAUUACCUGUGCUGUAUAAUAUAUCCCUGUAUCUUAUUUAUUUUAUAAUAGCAGUUUGUCCCUAGUAAUCUCAUCCCCCUAUUUUGUUCUUCCCCCAAACCUUCUCUCCACUGGUAACCACUAGUUUGUUCUCUAUAUCUGUGAGGCUGUUUCUGUUUCAUAUGCAUCACUUUGGAUGAGACAUGGGGGCCCAUAUCCCCUCCCCUUUUCUGCCUGGAAGUGCUUAUGGAGCUCGGAGAAUGACAUGAAGUUGGAUUGUUUAUCACUGUGCUGAAAAAUGGAAGGAUGGCAUCACUACAGGAGCAGAUGGCACUGUAUGUUUGGCAUAAUUUUCUCAGACAAACUAGGACUAGGGCUGUGAAUGCUGGCAUUUGCCUGCUAUAUAGUCAUCUACGUCAAAACAUAACAAUGAAAAUAAGGGACUUUGUGGAAAAGGCAUUGAGGUUUUAAAUUAUGUGCAUUUAAGUGCCAUAGGCUCCUGUUGUAUGCAUACAACUUGGUUGAACUUCUGACAUUCUUCAUUAAGCAGAAUUUUAUAUAUGACCAGGCUUUUUCGUGUUUAUCUUCCUUUGUAUUUCCACAAAUGUUCUCAGGUAGUGCUAUAUUAGAAAAUUGCUUUUAAGCAUGUAGAGUAUGUUUGAAACAAAUAGAAAUCGAAAUGAUGGCAUAAAGAAUAAGAAUGUGUUUUAAAUUCUGAGAACCAAGAAAUAUCUGAAAGAAAAAUAUGCGGUGAUGAAGGGAUCAUUAAUCUUUGUUUUACAAAACUCAAAUUAAGGUUAUACUACUUACUUACUGGGUGAUUUUAGACAAUUCAAACAUAAUAAACUUAUUGUUUUUCUCACUGAGUAAAUGAAGAGUUUGGAUAGGGUGAUUGCUAAGAUUUUUUUCUAAUUCUAAUUUUAUUUGAUUUGCUCUUUCUAUGCAAACUGAUGCAGCAGUAAUAUAGGCCACCCAUUUACUUUUUGGCCUAUUCAUGUGCUUUUUUAAUUUUUAAUUAAUUUAUUUUUAAAGAACAAUGGAGAGAAAGGAGAGAGAACACAAUGCAAAUGGCCUCAGGACUCAGGAUGCAUUUUAUUUCUGAAGUACAUACCACUUUUUCUUCCCUUUCUUCCUCUUUCCUCCCUUAGAAUCGAUACUUCUGUGCCUCACAUUUUUUUUUUUGUCUUUUUGUCUUUUUAGGGCUGCACCCACAGCAUAUGGAGGUUCCCAGGCCAAGGGUCAAAUUGGAACUACAGCUGCCAGCCUAGGCCAGAGCCACAGCAACGUGGGAUCCAAGCUGCCUGUGCGACCUACACCACAGCUCAUGACAACGCCGGAUUCUUAACCCACUGAGCAAGGCCAGGGAUUGAACCCGCAUCCUCAUGGAUGGUAGUUGGGUUCGCUAACCACUGAGCCACACUGGGAACUCCAUGUGCCUCAAUUUUUAUUUCCUUUGAAGAAAUAGACAACUCCCAAGAAAAUGGCUCUAGUUUCUUAUGUGUUUGAAUUAACAAAUUCAUGUAUCCAUUCUUUUAGUAAACUCUGUUAUAGGCAAGUACUAGGCGCGAAGCAUACUGCAUCUAUGAACCUGUAUACAAAACAGAAUCAGACUCACAGACGUAGAGAAUAGGCUUGUGGUUGCCAAGGACAGGGGAGGAAGUGGGAUGGAUGGGGAUUUUGAGGUUGGUAGAUAGAAACUAUUACAUUUAGAAUGGAUAAGCAAUGAGGUCCUACUGUGUAGCACAAGGAACUAUAUCCAGUCUCUUGGGAAAGAACAUGAUGGAAGACAGUAUGAAAAAAGGAAUGUGUGUGUGUGGGUGUGACACACACAUGUAUAUUGACUGGGUCACUAUGCUGUACAGCAGAAACUGGCACAACACUAAAUCAACAUGCUUUAAUAAUAAUGAUAAUAAAUACAGAGGACAGAACCAAUUUUACUAAGAAGAUAUGGGAAAAAUGUCACAAAUGAGGUUACAUUGGAGUUUCUUUUUAGAGAAAUUGUUAUAAUUUCUCCAGUGAGGAAAGAAAAAAAUGCUUUAUGCAGAGGGAACAGUGUAUACUAGAACUAAGGGUCAUAAAAAGGUCUGACAUGUUUGGAGAAAACUGAGAAAUUUUAUAUGGCCUGAAUGCAGGGUAUAGAUGAAAAGGGUAGGAAUUAAAGACUAAGAGAAAAAUGUGGGCCAGAUUUUGAAGGCUUUGUAUCCCUGU